CCCUUGAUGAUCGGCCCUGGAUCCAAACACCACCACAUCCCCUGCCUGUGCCGGUGUGCCCCUUCACCACCGCCGCCCCCCUGCCCGAUAACCACACACAGACCAUAUUUUCAUUGCUAGAAUCAAGCCCCUCGACCGACCACGUUUGGUUCUGGCUCAAAUUGAAUCGAGGACCGCGCGGAUCGGCCGGCAGGAGCCCUGGCGGAGUGGAGCGCAGCGCCACCCGCGGACUGUUUUCCUUUGUGAGCAAUUCAAUUCUCCAUCUCUGUAAGCUGACAUGGAUCCAUAUCUCCACCGCCGCAUGGAUAGUCUCGAUUGGGGAUGUGGCGACAUGGGGACGAGGGGCCGCAGGUUUGAAUCGGGGGGCGAGCUCGUAGGUGCGGCGGCCUCGAUCGGGCGGCGGCAUGCGUGAAUUAGCAGGAGGCGCAACAGAUUUCAGGUCAGUAGCCACAGUCCACGACACCUCCCGAUUUGGCUUUGACUCGAACUGCUUGCGAGAAGCCCUACCUGGUUCAUUUCUUUGGAAAAUUCUCGGAUAUGUGGUUCUUAUAUAUUGGUUUGGGAAAUCUACACCUGACAUUUUGCAAUGGCUAAUGAGAAGAAUAUCUUUGUCAAUGUGUCAAAAUUGAUACGGAAAUGCAUUUCUUGAUUCAUGGGCAUUCACUUUGACCACAGACAGUUGGAUCAGCAGCAGGCCAGAGGCGGUUGCAGCAAGGGCGUCUGCGUGCCUGACCUAUCUCUUAAAGUUUGCUCCAUCUCGAAUUCUCGAUGCCUUGUAUUACUUGAUUUAUUAUGUAAGCAUUUGUCUGUAAUGUGUUGAGUACAAUUAUGUUGAAUACAUUUACUCCAAGCAAGCUAUAGUUUCUAAACUGGAUUGGAUCAGCGACCCUAGGGUCUGCUUGGAGUGUUAAAGGAGAAGAGAUGGCACGGACAAGGGGCCGGUCGAUGCCGAGAUAGACAAGCAGUGCAGGGUCGGCAUGGAGCUGAACAACAAGGUCAUGCUGCACAACUGUAGCCACACGAUGUGCAUCAAAGUGCUAUCGUCAAUGAUUUCUAAAAGAAGUCUGUAAGGAGGAGAAAUCACAGCUAGCAUCAAGAAGAUCCUAAAUUGCUAAUUAUUUGAUUUCAUAUUCAAGUGGCGCCACAAAUGGAUAGGACGCACCACCUGAGAGGAAGCAUUUGAACCAGAGCUCCUCAUGACAGAGAUGCAUGGUCAGCAAAAAAUGACGAGCAACAUUCUCGUUUGGUGAUAUGCAUUUCUUACAAGUGUAAUAGUUGUGAGUUGAGCUACCAUCUGAUCCAGGUAAACAACAUCUUCAUCGAGUUACCUACUUUCAGUACGCCAAUUGUUUUUGGUUGAACAUUUGUAAAAUAUAACUUCUCUGGCAAUUUGUCCUUGAAUACAAAAAAAAAACUUAUGCAUGUGUAACUUUUUUGUACGAACUCUUUGAUGAUUAUGCUUCAGAUGAGUUUCUAAAAUGUUCAGAGAAGCUGACUUUUUUUUGGGCACGCGGUUCUACUGAAGGGAAUGAGUUUAUUGAGGCCAAGAAGAAGAGUACAGAUUGUAAGCUGCUCAGGUGCACAUCACGGCAGUAGACAGCAAAAGAAGUAAGAAGGCGUGAGUUCCAUUUGUGAUGAUCCUAAGGACAAGUAGUGCUUAUUUUCUGUUAUGUACUGUAAGUGAGGAAGGGCUUAGAGCUCCCAGUGUGGGCGAUGAUGACCAGAUCUCGGUGUUGUUUCUCCUGCUUACAACGUUCCAUUUCCCGUGGCUGAUUGGCUGACUGCCAAAACAGGAGGUCGACAAGAUUUGUGCCGCCGUAUCACCGGUGUUUAUUCUUACAAGUGUGCUUCAGUUGAUUAUUGUGGACUGAUAAUGCUUCUAUCAUGUGUAGAUUAGGCUACUGGAGUUCUAAAUGCUAUCGUCAAGUGAUAUUUUCAUCUCCAGUUUGCAUUUUGUCCCAAAAUUUCAUGUUUGCUUCCCUUUUUUUCAGUUUCCUUCAGGCUUAUAUUAGGUAAUACAUCAUCUUUUCUUACCCUUUCCACUAGAAGAAUGAUGAGGGCCUCAAUCUGCCGUUUAAAAAAGCAAUGAUUUGACCAAGAUGCGCGGAGUCCAGACAAGAUAGCAAUGAUGGUGCAAAAGGGAGUGUAGGGGAGCCGGGGACAACAAAAUUAGGUAACUUCGCAAUAGUGGUAGAGAAGAUGUAUUUGAGGGUGGAAAACAAGGGGCAAUCAGAAAAAGAAUUGGAGAAACCAUGUACAUAACAGCAUGCCAUCAGAGAAAAAACUGGAGAAAUAUAUGUAUCAUUGUGUACAUGGUUUUUUUUCCCGUGGCAACGCACGGGCAUUUGUACU
This is a non-coding RNA of Lolium perenne, 2352 nucleotides long. The record is from RefSeq and is a predicted model, not a curated record. Lineage: Eukaryota; Viridiplantae; Streptophyta; Magnoliopsida; Poales; Poaceae.